UCUAGACCCGAAGCGGUGUGAUCUAUCCAUGGCCAGGAUGAAGCGUCGGUAAGACGUCGUGGAGGUCCGAACCCACUUCAGUUGAAAAUGGAGGGGAUGAGUUGUGGAUAGGGGUGAAAGGCCAAUCAAACACCGUGAUAGCUGGUUCUCCCCGAAAUGCAUUUAGGUGCAGCGUUGCGUGGUUCUUGUUGGAGGUAGAGCACUGGAUGGUCUAGGGGGCUUAUCGGCUUACCGAAAUCAGCCAAACUCCGAAUGCUGGCAAGUGUAGCGUGGCAGUGAGACGGCGGGGGAUAAGCUUCGUCGUCGAGAGGGAAACAGCCCAGAUCAUCAGCUAAGGCCCCUAAGUGGUGACUCAGUGGGAAAGGAUGUGGAGUUGCGUAGACAACCAGGAGGUUGGCUUGGAAGCAGCCAUCCUUGAAAGAGUGCGUAAUAGCUCACUGGUCAAGUGAUUCCGCGCCGAUAAUGUAGCGGGGCUUAAGUUAUCCGCCGAAGCUGUGGCAACCUGUGUGGUUGGGUAGGGGAGCGUCGUGUCAGUGGUGAAGCUGCCGGGUGACUGUGUGGUGGAGUUGAUGCGAGUGAGAAUGCAGGCAUGAGUAGCGUGUGACGGGUGGGAAUCCCGUCCGCCGAUUAUCCAAGGGUUCCAGGGUCAAGUUUGUCUGCCCUGGGUGAGUCGGGUCCUAAGGCGAGGCCGACAGGCGUAGUCGAUGGGUAACCAGUUGAUAUUCUGGUACCGGCUUGUCACCGUCCGUGUCGAGGUGUGUGAUGCUAAGCAUGUGAGCUUGUCUUGGGAGUGUUUUUGAUGCUUCUGGGGUGGGUGAGUGUGUGAACCGAUCAUGUAGUAGGCAAGCUGCGGAGGGACGCAGUGAGGUAGCUCAUCCCCGGUGAUGGUUGUCCGGGGCUAAGUGUGUGGACUGUCUGGUAGGUAAAUCCGCUGGGCGUGAAGGUUGAGGCAUGAUGGGGAGCCCAUGGUUGUGGGUGAGUGAGUGAUCCUGUACUGUCGAGAAAAGCUUCGUGAGCGAGGUGGCGGGUCCGCCCGUACCCUAAACCGACACUGGUGGAUAGGUAGAGUAUACCGAGGCGAUCGAGUGAAUCGUGGUGAAGGAACUCGGCAAAAUGCCCCCGUAACUUUGGGAUAAGGGGGACCUGAGCUGUCGUGCACCCGUGCGGUGUGGUGGCGGUGAGGGGCGCAGAGUCCAGGGGGAAACGACUGUUUACCAAAAACACAGGUCCGUGCGAAGUCGUAAGACGAUGUAUACGGACUGACUCCUGCCCGGUGCUGGAAGGUUAAGGGGAACUGUGAGUGUAUGCGUAGCGGUGAACUUAAGCCCCAGUAAACGGCGGUGGUAACUAUAACCAUCCUAAGGUAGCGAAAUUCCUUGUCGGGUAAGUUCCGACCUGCACGAAUGGAGUAACGAUUUCCCUACUGUCUCCACCAUGAACUCGGUGAAAUUGCAUUACGAGUAAAGAUGCUCGUUACGCGCAGCAGGACGGAAAGACCCCGGGACCUU
This 1508-nucleotide ribosomal RNA is filed under the name human metagenome. Its description in RNAcentral is "bacterial LSU rRNA". It matches the Rfam family "Bacterial large subunit ribosomal RNA", at positions 708 to 2101 of the family's 2925-position model. The record is from RNAcentral.